UGAUUGAUUGAUUGAUUGAUUGAUUUAAGAGAGAGAGUGAGUGUGUGUGUGUGUGUGUGUGUGUGAGCAGAGGGAGGGGCAGAGAGAGAGGGGGUAGAAGAUAAACAAGACUCCCUGCUGAGCACAGAGCCCACAGCACCUGGAGGCUCAAGGCCCAGGGCUUGAUCUCUCAACCCUGAGAUCCUGACCUGAGCCAAAAUCAAGUCCAAGCCUUAACAAAUUGAGACACCUAGGCACCCCACAUACUAACAGUCUUAAUGUCACUGUUUCUAGAAACGGAAGACUGAACUCUGUUAAAUAGCCAAAUAAAGAAUUUCUUAAGAAGCUACUUCACUAUUUUAAUAAGUAACUAAAUUAAUAGGCACACUAAGUUGGAGCAAUUGCGAUAUGCACAGGAAAACAAAAUGAAUUUUAUUGGUUGGGGGAAAAUGUUCAAACAAAAUAUUAAUUCCUAUGAUUCCUUGAAUUUCAACAAUAUCUGUUAAAAAGUGCUUCUGGGGACAUAAUACUAACAUAUAGUAUAAAAAAAAGGCAAAUGUUUUCAAAAGGUUUAGAAUGCAAUCUGUCCACAUAAAUUAAUGCUUUAUUUUGGUUAUAUAACUUCAUCUAAUUAUAAUUGCAUUUGAAGGAAACUUAAUUUUCUAGGUCAAGAAAAUUGCCAUAGAAAGUCUAAAAUUUCUCAGAUCAGUGGCAAACUCACCAAAGAGGAUAUAUUAUUAGAGAUACAUACAUGCUCAUAUACACAGCAUUAUCCUUCUUCUAAAAUUACCAGCAAGAGUUCAAAUAUAGCCAGCCCCAAACAUUGUGAAGGUAAAAGUGAAAAAAACACAAUUGUCUUCUGGGUAUGCAAUCCCUUACAUUUUUCUGAUGACAUAAAGGUAAGCCACCACACAAUAGGGAAAUUUUGAAGCAACACUUAACCAGGAAAACAAAAUAGCCUGAAAUGAAUUAUAAAGACCUUCCAUGGUUACCAAAACUUUCAUGGGAAAACUUGAUUGCUAUGCAUUCAUUUGAUAGAGUUAAAAAUACUCCAGCUGAAUGGCAUCAUAAAGUGGCCUUCAUGUUAUCAUCUUGACUUAUAACCCAUCUUAGUUCUAAUAUAUAAGUGGUGUUCCAAUUUUAGCCUGACAAAUGUGGAAACACCAGUGAACUGUAUAUAUAAUGGGGUAAAAAACAUGAAGCUAAGCAGCAAGAUCCUUGUAUUUUAGGUCUGUCUUGUCUCUACUAGCUGGCCUUCAUAAUGAAGAUAACUACUCAACCUCUCAGUGUCUCUGUUUUCUCUACUGUAAAAUGAGGCAGUUGAACUAGAUGACCUCAAAAUAUCCUACCCCAGCUUUGAUGAUUUAUUUUUUUUAAUAUUUGUUUAUUUAUUUAUUUAUGAUAGACAUAGAGAGGGAGAGAGGCAGAAACACAGGAGGAGGGAGAAGCAGGCUCCAUGCCAGGAGCCCGAUGCAGGACUCGAUCCCGGGACUCCAGGAUCACGCCCUGGGCCAAAGGCAGGCGCUAAACCGCUGAGCCACCCAGGGAUCCCUAGCUUUGAUGAUUUAAAAUAAUACUUCAAUCUACUCAAAUAUUUACCUAUCCCACUACAAAAUGCUUUCUAGAAUAAAAAGUAAAUCAACCAACAAGUAUUUAUUGAAUGCUUAAUAAGAGCUAGGUAAAUUACCUAAUUGUUGGGGAAAACACCCUAAUCCAACACAAUGCAAUCUGAAAGAAUGCUGGGUUUCAGUUUUAAAAUUGUGUGUAAGUGUGAGGGGGGUAGGCAUAAGACCUACAAUUCUUACUUAUUUGUAUUCUGUGAUGAACUGAAAUGAGGCUUCAAAUAAGAGAAUUAUUUAUUUUAUUAAUGAAAUGCACUACAGUGGUAUUCCAUGCUGUUGGUUUGCAUAAAAUUUGAAAAUAAUUUUAAAGCAUUUCCCACUGUUUUUAAAUGUUUCUUAAAAUCUAAUGAAAUUUUAUUCUGUAAUUUUGAAAACCCAGUUACUCCAGCUUUUAAAUACAAAAUUAAAUGUUUGUGGUGUUACCUAUCCAGUAGUUCAAGAAAAUACACUAAAAUGUUCGUAUUGUUUAAAAUAAGACAUCAACAGAGGAGAAAGAACUAUACUAUGAGAUAUAUAUUUUCAAAUCAAAUCAUAGAUAUAAAAAAUCCUGUUUCUUCUAUAAUUGGAAGCAUAAAGUUAUAUCUGUGUUUGCUAUUUAUUUCUGCCCUUAAAUUUGUCCAGUUUUACAAACUGUAAGUUAUAAUUUCCUCUGAAUAUCAGCCGAAGAUUUAGGAUAGCUCCACUAUUAAUAGAAUAUGUCAACCGAUCUCUAUUUAUAAAGUCAUCAAACCCCAGUUUGUUUCCACCUGACCAGGCUCCAAAAGGGUGAAAGCAGCAGGAAAGUUUGUAUACUACAGUACAAAGGAACUACAAAUGGGUCAAGAGCAAACUGCAUAGAAAGAGGCACAAUGUGAGUGCCCAUGUGUGGCAACUUGCUCGUCUAGACGCGUAUAGAAUAGCUAACUCACAAGGUAAAAUUUCCAGAUUAUGCUAAAGCUUUAUUUAAUCCUUUCCCUAUCAUUCCUUCUGUGUGUUUCAGAAUAAUUUUUAUAAAUGAUUAUAAAAUAAAAUAAUGUAUGUGAAUAUAUAAACAAUACAUAUUGUAAAAUAAUAUAAUGAUAUGUUAAUUAUAUAUAAUAAUGUAAUGAUUGCCCUACACCAAGGAGAUAUGCCCAAUAGAUGUGCCUUUAAUUUAUGUAUCUAGUUUAUAGUUUUCUAUAUCUUCCCUUAUAGUCAUGCUAGCCAUUAUCUUUUCUUAUUUCUUUAUGCUAUUUAUUAGCUCUUCAACCUCUGAAAUGUUUGUUAAUGCUUUGUCUAAAGCAGAAACAAAUUCUUA
RNAcentral lists this long non-coding RNA (2877 nucleotides) under Canis lupus familiaris (dog). RNAcentral's name for it is "lncRNA (ENSCAFG00845002299.1)". The record is from RNAcentral. Lineage: Eukaryota; Metazoa; Chordata; Mammalia; Carnivora; Canidae.